Molecule: long non-coding RNA, 1556 nt
Organism: Cyprinus carpio carpio
Lineage: Eukaryota; Metazoa; Chordata; Actinopteri; Cypriniformes; Cyprinidae
Source: Ensembl
AGUUCACAAGGUGGCGAUGUUAUAUGAAUUCAUACAAUGUGAUUUGUAAGGAAACGUGUGACUUUUGAAAAUCAUUGCCAAACCAAGCAAGUUUUUGAUUCAGUUUUUUCAUACAAAUCAGUUAAGUGAAUAAUUGACAUUCAUAAAGACAAUCCCUUGUUUCAUAAUAAGUCAGCAUUUUUAAACAAAUCAACUGAGUGAACAAUUCAGUGACCCAUUAAUAAAGAUAUUCACUUGUUCUGUUGCUGAUUGAAUUGUUGCUUUUGAAUGAAUCAGUUAAACGAAAGAUUCAAUAAACAUAUAUGUAACAAUAAACAACUCACGGGAAGAAGGAGGCGGGAACCGGCGAACUUUCAAAUAAAACUUUAAUAACCAAAUAAACAUAAAACAGCGCGACAGCCCCUCACGGUCGACUGCUGCGCACAAACAAAAACCAAACCACAAAAUAAAGCCCAGGCCUGGUCCUCUCUCAUCCUUCACUGUCGUCGCUCCUCUUUUGUAUCCUCCCAAUCUCCUCCGUGGGACUCGAGACCGGUGAGUGGAGCAGGUGUCGCUCAUUUCCCAAUCACUCCACCGGCCUCGCUCCGUUCCCACGGCUCUCGGCCCCGCCCCACUCGUCACAAUAUACUAGAAGGUCCAUCUCUAAACCUAACAGAAAGUGGGGACUAAGCAGAUCAUACGAAACCAUACAAAUGAGAUUGUAUCGAAUUAGCGGCCAGUUUACCAAAUGUAAAAUAAUCACAAAUUUUAGUGACAUAAUUGCUAGAAAGUGUGCUAAGUUUAGCAUAUACUUGUUGAUUUAUCGAAAGACAGUUGGUGAAGCCAACUAUUUUGAACAAAGUUGUGUGAAAAACUCCCAUAGUGCCUGGCUCUCAGCCAGCAUGGAACUUCACAUGCUUACAGGAAAAGAUCACAGCCAGGAACAGAUUAGCCGGUGGUGAGGUAUCGGAGUGUUUCUCAGGUGACACACAGACGUCUCAUCGACAUCUGCCACGACAUGUUCCUGCACCCGCACCCAAACUCUGCUGUCUUCAAAUCAUCACGGGGUGUGUGUGAUUGAUGCUGGACACGGUAAUUCAUGCAUGUCUCACUGUACAGGAGACAGACAUCACCCCUUUAGACUCUCUCGCUUGUCUUUUGCACUGUCACAUUCAUUCACACUCUGAACAAAAAUGUGAGUGGAGUAAAAAAAUAAAUGAAAUUGUUUAUUCAUUGUUUGCUGAGCAAGUCUAAAGCCUCACUUAUUUAUUUUACCUUUUAUUUUAUAUUUCACAUAAAUAUUUUAAAAGGAUUUCUAUAUAUUUUCAUUUAAUUCUAUUCUAAAUUUUCUAAUUUUUUCUAUUUUAUCUGUUAUUUAUAUUUUUGUAUUUUUAAUUGUAUAAAUAGUUUAACAUGAUUUUUCUAUGUUGAACACACACACACACACACACACACACACACACAUAUAUAUAUAAACGAUAUAAAUCAUUUUAUUAAUUGCUGAGCAAGGUCUACAAGUCUAAAGCUUCACUUAUUUUUUACAUUUUAUUAUUAUUUUUUAUUUCAUAUAAAUAUAU